RNAcentral lists this ribosomal RNA (429 nucleotides) under Bacteroidota bacterium. RNAcentral describes it as "Bacteroidetes bacterium partial 16S ribosomal RNA". It matches the Rfam family "Bacterial small subunit ribosomal RNA", at positions 355 to 776 of the family's 1533-position model. Lineage: Bacteria; Pseudomonadati; Bacteroidota. The record is from RNAcentral.
UAGGGAAUCUUCCGCAAUGGACGCAAGUCUGACGGAGCAACGCCGCGUGAGUGAAGAAGGAUUUCGGUUCGUAAAACUCUGUUGUUAGAGAAGAACAGCGCAUAGAGUAACUGUUAUGCGUGUGACGGUAUCUAACCAGAAAGCCACGGCUAACUACGUGCCAGCAGCCGCGGUAAUACGUAGGUGGCAAGCGUUGUCCGGAUUUAUUGGGCGUAAAGCGAGCGCAGGCGGUCAAUUAAGUCUGAUGUGAAAGCCCCCGGCUCAUCCGGGGAGGGUCAUUGGAAACUGGUUGACUUGAGUGCAGAAGAGGAGAGUGGAAUUCCAUGUGUAGCGGUGAAAUGCGUAGAUAUAUGGAGGAACACCAGUGGCGAAGGCGACUCUCUGGUCUGUAACUGACGCUGAGGCUCGAAAGCGUGGGUAGCAAACAGG